Molecule: ribosomal RNA, 460 nt
Filed under: uncultured bacterium
Lineage: Bacteria
Description: partial 16S ribosomal RNA
Rfam family: Bacterial small subunit ribosomal RNA
Source: RNAcentral
CCUACGGGAGGCAGCAGUGAGGACUAUUGGUCAAUGGACGCAAGUCUGAACCAGCCAUGCCGCGUGCAGGAAGACGGCUCUAUGAGUUGUAAACUGCUUUUGUACGAGGGUAAACGCAGAUACGCGUAUCUGUCUGAAAGUAUAGUACGAAUAAGGAUCGGCUAACUCCGUUACAGCAGCCGCGGUAAUACGGAGGAUUCAAGCGUUAGCCGGAUUUAUUGGGGUUAAGGGGUGCGUAGGCGGUCGGAUAAGUUUGAGGUGAAAUCCCGAGGCUCAACUUCGGAAUUGCCUUUGAUACUGUGCGGCUAGAGAGUAGUUGCGGUAGGCGGAAUGUAUGGUGUAGCGGUGAAAUGCUUAGAGAUCAUACAGAACACCGAUUGCGAAGGCAGCUUACCAAGCUACUUCUGACGUUGAGGCACGAAAGCGUGGGGAGCAAACAGGAUUAGAUACCCUAGUAGUC